RNAcentral lists this ribosomal RNA (522 nucleotides) under Triticum aestivum (bread wheat). RNAcentral's name for it is "partial small subunit ribosomal RNA". The record is from RNAcentral. Lineage: Eukaryota; Viridiplantae; Streptophyta; Magnoliopsida; Poales; Poaceae.
AUGGCUACCCGUCCAAUCCCUGCUUGGCUGCACGGUAGAUGUUGCAGAUGCUUCGCUCCUGGGCAUCGUGCGGUUGACUGCAGAGAUCCGCUUCAGUCCUCCCGUUGCUUGGAGAACAGUCACCGUGCACGCGGAUGCCACAAUCCUUGGCGUCCUCUAAGUUUUUUGGCAUGCCUUGCCAUGCCGCCAGUCCUCGAUUCGAUGCUUCGUCCUGCUCUAGCUUCAUGUAAGGGUGCAAUGAAAUCUGUGCCCCCCUCCAAGGCGCUUCACCAUGGGUCUUGGGCGUCUGUCGUCUCUGCUUCUGUUGGCUCGGCAACCCCGCCUGAUAUGAUGUUGCGGUCCGCUCUAGAUGAUCAGACAACAUUGCUGCAGAGUUGUCUGGCACGGGUUCAGAGCUUUCUGGGGCGGGCAGAGGCUGCUCUUAGCAGGCUCUUCCUUGCACCGGCUAGGUCGCAGACCACUCCAAUGUCAUGCCCUUCUGGUGUGGAAGAUGUUGGCUCCAUGGAGGAAGGGAGGCAAUAG